RNAcentral lists this small RNA (838 nucleotides) under Oncophorus virens. Its description in RNAcentral is "eukaryotic LSU rRNA". The stretch from base 314 to 466 matches the Rfam family "5.8S ribosomal RNA". Lineage: Eukaryota; Viridiplantae; Streptophyta; Bryopsida; Dicranales; Rhabdoweisiaceae. The record is from RNAcentral.
UUGCACACACAAAGUUGCAGCAAACCCCCUUGCGAAUCUUAUGAAUGUCCCCCUUGGCCGGUUGGGGUGUCGCCGUCGCCGCCGUCGCCACUUUGUGGUGGUGGUGGUGACGGUGGUGUCCCGGCCGGCCAACCCGAGUCCCCGGGGGCUUGGGACUCCCUCCCGGGAGUCCCAUCACCCGGGACUCGGUAACCAACCGAUUGCGCAAUGCAUCAACACUUUCAAAACGACUGAGUAUAAGAAAUCGGGACGCAUCGGGCGGCUCUUGAUCGAGCCACCCAGUGCGCCCCCGAGUUGUAAUAUAAACAAAAACAACUCUCAGCAACGGAUAUCUUGGCUCUUGCAACGAUGAAGAACGCAGCGAAAUGCGAUACGUAGUGUGAAUUGCAGAAUUCCGCGAAUCAUCGAGUCUUUGAACGCAAGUUGCGCCCGAGGCUUGACCAAGGGCAUUUCUGCCAGAGCGUCACCGCGACACCCACCAAUCCGCUCCAGGCGAGCGGGUCGAGUGAAAGUGGCCAUCCGAACGGGGGUUCACCCAGGGACCUCUUGGUCCCCUGGGCGGCCCAGAUUGGGUUGGCUGAAAUGGAUGGAAUUUGGCCGCCGUGGUGACACAGCCCGCGAUCAGGUGAUCCAGGUCUCUUCCUGGAACUCAAUGUGCGUCGGCGGUGUCUCCCAGUCGGUUUAGGGGAUUCCAGAGCAGGUCCCUCGCGGCGGGGCCCCGCACCUCCCUCGGGAGGUGAGGCGGUUCCGCCGGGAGGAAAACGUCACGCAUCAGACCUCUGAUCAGAAAAGACUACCCGCUGAGUUUAAGCAUAUCACUAAGCGGAGGAGAAGAAAC